GUACUGCAUUCUCUCCCCCCACCCACCCAUGGAUCAUUCAGCUCCGGGAGCAGAGAGCCAGAGGCAGGUUAGUGUGGAGGAGCAGAGAGCCAGGGGCAGGUUAGUGUGGAGGAGCAGAGAGCCAGGAUAGGGAGGCAGGGAAGGAGAUUCAGGCAGGCAGGGAGAGGAGGCAAGCAGGCAUGGAAGGCUGGGGAGGAGAGUCAGCGUUGCAGGCAAGCAGGCAUGGAAGGCUGGGGAGGAGAGUCAGCAAGGCAGGCAGGCAUGGAAGGCUGGGGAGGAGAGUCAGCGAGGCAGGCAAGCAGGCAUGGAAGGCUGGGGAGGAGAGCCAGCGUUGCAGGAAAGCAGGCAUGGAAGGCUGGGGAGGAGAGUCAGCGAGGCAGGCAAGCAGGCAUGGAAGGCUGGGGAGGAGAGCCAGCGUUGCAGGCAAGCAGGCAUGGAAGGCUGGGGAGGAGAGCCAGCGUUGCAGGCAAGCAGGCAUGGAAGGCUGGGGAGGAGAGCCAGCGUUGCAGGCAAGCAGGCAUGGAAGGCUGGGGAGGAGAGCCAGCGAGGCAGGCAGGCAGGCAUGAAAGGCUGGGGAGGAGAGUCAGCAAUGCAGGCAGGCAGGCAUGGAAGGCUGGGGAAAAGAGCCAGCGAGGUAGGCGGCGGAGACGGGAGAGCAGGUAUGCAGGGAUGAGAACCAGGUGAGCAGGGUUGGGCAGGCAGGCAAGCAAGCAUGCAAAGCAGGCACUCUGAGUAGAGGGAGGCAGGUAAGGACGCAGGUAGGCAGAUGGGAGAAAUAAGGAAAGGCAGGCUGUCUCCCAUUCCGUAGCCCCCUGGCCAGCUGUCUCCAGGGUUACUGGAAAGAAGUGAUGGACAACCAGAAAGUACCUGGAUAAAGACAAGGAGCGGAUGUCACACUCCUCCUCUUCUCCCUACUCUUCAUCCCUAAUUUCCUGGGCACCAUGGAAAGGGCCCCCCCCCUCCACCUAAAGAGCAGCAGGAAAGGAGACGAGCAGAAGGAUCCAUUUCAUACUAUUGAGAUGAACCUGUGGGUAGAGAGAAAGCACUGUAACAGUUCCUAUGUGCUGUGAAGUAACACUAUCCCCUCUUGAGUGAAGAACCCAUGAAAUGUACCUAUGGAGAACCACGAUACAGGAUGUCAUUGAAACAGGGCAGGGAGUUGGAGAGAGUACAGAUGUGGAAACGUAUAGAUCACCCAACGUCAAGACUGAUGUGUUACUCCACAAUUGGCGUCUUCAUAGUGCAGUGACUCUGACUGGGUAAACUCCCAGCCCCCGGCUUCUCUCUCUCUACACAUGACUCUGACUGGGUAAACUCCCAGCCCCCGGCUUCUCUCUCUCUCUCUCUCUACACAACACUGGAUCUGAGAAAAAGAUAAAUAUCUUUGUUUUGAAUCUGAUGAUAACUGUUUAUUUUCCAAGCUGUCAAGAAAAAGUCUCCCUCCUGACUUCCUCUUGGGGGUUUUUAGACUCCUAAAGCGGUGCAAUGAAACAAUGCCUCACUUUCCUCUCAUCACGGUGCUACUAACACACAGCCUGACAAUAAUAUGUGUGUUUGCUGGUGUUAAAACAACUCCUCACUUUCCUCUCAUCACGGUGCUACUAACACACAGCCUGACAAUAAUAUGUGUGUUCGCUGGUGUUAAAACAACGCCUCACUUUCCUCUCAUCACGGUGCUACUAACACACAGCCUGACAAUAAUAUGUGUGUUCGCUGGUGUUAAAACAACGCCUCACUUUCCUCUCAUCACGGUGCUACUAACACACAGCCUGACAAUAAUGUAUGUUGGUGAUAAAACAUAAAGCCUCCCGGUACUCCCCUGUGACUUCCUGACUAACACAGACAGACAGAAGAGUCACAUUCCACACAACGCUAUCAAUAAAAUCAUUCAUUCUG
Oncorhynchus kisutch (coho salmon) is the source of this 1896-nucleotide long non-coding RNA. RefSeq lists it as uncharacterized. The transcript has 2 exons. NCBI's taxonomy places the organism in Eukaryota, Metazoa, Chordata, Actinopteri, Salmoniformes, Salmonidae. The record is from RefSeq and is a predicted model, not a curated record.